UCCCUGGUGGCUUAGACAGUAAAGCGUCUGCCUGCAACGCAGGGGACUCAGGUACGGUCCCUGGCUUGGGAA
This 72-nucleotide transfer RNA is filed under the name Ovis aries (sheep). It matches the Rfam family "tRNA". Rfam says of the family: Transfer RNA (tRNA) molecules are approximately 80 nucleotides in length. Their secondary structure includes four short double-helical elements and three loops (D, anti-codon, and T loops). Lineage: Eukaryota; Metazoa; Chordata; Mammalia; Artiodactyla; Bovidae. The record is from Rfam by way of RNAcentral.